CCUACGGGAGGCAGCAGUGAGGAAUAUUGGUCAAUGGGCUCACGCCUGAACCAGCCAAGUCGCGUGAGGGAUGACUGCCCUAUGGGUUGUAAACCUCUUUUGUCAGGGAGCAAUUGGCGCUACGUGUAGCGUUAUCGAGAGUACCUGAAGAAAAAGCAUCGGCUAACUCCGUGCCAGCAGCCGCGGUAAUACGGAGGAUGCGAGCGUUAUCCGGAUUUAUUGGGUUUAAAGGGUGCGUAGGCGGAAUGCCAAGUCAGCGGUAAAAUCGGGGGGCUCAACCUCGGUCCGCCGUUGAAACUGGCGGUCUUGAGUGGGCGAGAAGUAUGCGGAAUGCGUGGUGUAGCGGUGAAAUGCAUAGAUAUCACGCAGAACUCCGAUUGCGAAGGCAGCAUACCGGCGCCCAACUGACGCUGAAGCACGAAAGCGUGGGUAUCGAACAGGAUUAGAUACCCGGGUAGUC
This 460-nucleotide ribosomal RNA is filed under the name uncultured bacterium. Its description in RNAcentral is "partial 16S ribosomal RNA". It matches the Rfam family "Bacterial small subunit ribosomal RNA", at positions 338 to 795 of the family's 1533-position model. The record is from RNAcentral.